AUUGAACGCUGGCGGCAGGCUUAACACAUGCAAGUCGAGCGGUAGCACAGGGGAGCUUGCUCCCUGGGUGACGAGCGGCGGACGGGUGAGUAAUGUCUGGGAAACUGCCUGAUGGAGGGGGAUAACUACUGGAAACGGUAGCUAAUACCGCAUAAUGUCGCAAGACCAAAGUGGGGGACCUUCGGGCCUCACACCAUCGGAUGUGCCCAGAUGGGAUUAGCUAGUAGGUGGGGUAAUGGCUCACCUAGGCGACGAUCCCUAGCUGGUCUGAGAGGAUGACCAGCCACACUGGAACUGAGACACGGUCCAGACUCCUACGGGAGGCAGCAGUGGGGAAUAUUGCACAAUGGGCGCAAGCCUGAUGCAGCCAUGCCGCGUGUGUGAGGAAGGCCUUAGGGUUGUAAAGCACUUUCAGCGAGGAGGAAGGGUGGUGUGUUAAUAGCGCAUCACAUUGACGUUACUCGCAGAAGAAGCACCGGCUAACUCCGUGCCAGCCGCCGCAGUAA
RNAcentral lists this ribosomal RNA (506 nucleotides) under uncultured bacterium. RNAcentral's name for it is "partial 16S ribosomal RNA". It matches the Rfam family "Bacterial small subunit ribosomal RNA", at positions 30 to 523 of the family's 1533-position model. The record is from RNAcentral.